UUAAGUUUUGCCCCAUGAAUUAUGUCUUUCUCAACAGAAAACGAAAAGACCCUUUUUAACAUUCACUGCAAAGUCCAGCUUCUCCUGGAGAGCAUCAAACACUGCUGUGGCUAUGAGAAUGAAGGUAUGGUGGGUCACUGUGCCUUUCCAGGGGCCCCGUCUUGUUACAGCUGUGCUUGACCAUGCAGUUUGACACUAGACCGGGUUUCUGCCGACUUUCACUUUCAGGGUGGGGGCAUCCUCAAGCCUUACGGGGUUGAAGUCUGAGAGAAUGUUCACGCUAACUACCUGCAGAUUGUAACUGGAGUCCAUGAGGCUCUGCUGAUAUUCCAGUUCAAAUCAGGCCACAGGGGCCAACCUCUGGUGCUCUUGCAUGUAAUCCCAUGUAUAGUUGCAUACAAAGGCUCCAAGUUACCAUGGUCCCAGUGUGACAUAACAGGAAGCCAGUGUCUCUAAGGAGGCCCCAUGAACUUGUUAAAUCACAUGAAAUAAGCUAAUAAGGUGUAGGUUUCUAGUUACCGGUUAUGGAUUCUAGCUGGUCCUGUGCAGAUUUUUAUGCUCAGAACAAGAAAGAUUUUCAUUUUAGAGAUGGGCCUGAAUCAUACUCCUCCUGCUCCCAGACUUCGCUGGCCUUCAGCCCUUAUCUGUGUCAUGCUUUGCAGGUGAAAUCGAGCUGGCAGACGUGAGUGGCCAGGUGAAGAAUUUGCUUCAGAACCAACAUUGCUAUGCCUCAGAGCUUCUGAGCGAGCGAGAGAUCUGUGUACUCCUCAGUGUCACACGUGGUGAAGGUUCUUCAGAGGUAGUAUUUACACCACUACUGAAAGAUGAAGGAGUUAUUAACCCUAAGUUCCUUGCUAAACUGUGUAACUGGGAAGAUUCCAAGGUCUCUUCUACCAGAGUGAAAUCCAAAAAGGCUGGCAAAAAACCAACUGUGCUCUUAGAGCUUCCGUCUGCAGAAGGAGACCCUGAUAGUGGCAAAUCCCAAGGGAUGGUUGGUGCUGAGCUGUUGGAGGACCUCUCCUUUCCGGCUGCCAUUUGAAAAUGUUUCACGUUUGCUGGCUUGUUCCUUGGUGAAGCACCUGUUGGAUGGGUUGGGUCCAGGUCGGAGUCUGGAACACUAGGAACGUUACAUGCGUGUAUUGCCUUUCAUUCUGAAUGACCCCAAAUUUACUGUGGAAAAACACUUCCAUUCUCUGCUGGCCAAUUGGAAAGGAAGUGAGAUAAUGGCUUCCUUCAUGCUGGCUCACAGAAAAAUGCAAAGUUGCAUCUAAAGAGGGAGUAGCAUGACUUAGUGAUCUAAGUAUGGGCAUAGAAGGGGAGACCUUCUGAGCUGUAAUCCCUUUAUUGAGCCCUGCUACGCUGGACCACUGAUUUAUUGUUAAUUCAGCAGAAAAGGUGCAUGUGGUGCUUGACAGACCCAUUUAAAAUCACAGCUCCAUCCCACAAGGAAUUUACAGUCCAGCUAAAACUCUUUAGCUGGUGGCUAAUCUCACUGAGCUACUACUUCAGUGGGAUUACUCCCAUACUUGGAUUUAGGCAUAUGCUUAAGUACCUUGCUGAACAGAGGUUGUAAUGGUUAAUUCAUUACACUGAAUUAUCACUUUAUGUGAAACAUACUAUAAUGUUAGCCUGGAAAUUGGCUGACCUUCCUUUUGUAAGGCCUGGGUCAUGUAUCUUUGGUCCUUGGCUCCUCCAGUGGAUGAUUCAGAUGAAACCGCUCAGAAUAUUAGCCUUGCCUGGUGGUUUUCUCCGCACUGCUGCAAAAGUGACAACUCUAGGAGGUUUAUAGCUACCUGAUUAGGAGAGCUUAUGCAGGCAAAAUAUUUACCGAAGCCUGAGUAAGGACCACAGGUUCAGGCCCUAUAAGAUUACUAGGUUAUUGGAUGUAAAAUACAACUUGCACUGAUGUCAUGGUUAAUGUGUCACCAGCUUUAUGGGUACCAGCUGGAGGUUCUUUUGCUGAUUGGCUACUUUCUCUGUGAUUCAGAAUUCUACUUUGCUCCUUCUGAUUCAUGUAACCUUUGCUUUAUGUUAUGUAC
Long non-coding RNA from Chrysemys picta bellii (western painted turtle), 2039 nucleotides. NCBI's taxonomy places the organism in Eukaryota, Metazoa, Chordata, Testudines, Emydidae. The record is from Ensembl.